UCUGCUUCAGCAGUACCGUGCAGCACUUCGCCAAGUUAAUAAAGUAAACACUGACCUUGAAAAACAACAACAAUCCUUUAAUACUGUAGAAAUGCAAUGUAAGAAAGAAGAGCUUGCUGAACUGGAAGACAAACUUAAAUUAAUAGACCAGGAAUUAGGUAAGACCUCACCAGUCAAUGCAACAUAUUACCACCUCUUUCAGAGUACUUGAUUGUCCGCGACUCCAAGCCAUUCCAAAAUAGGAAGAGUACUAAAACGUCCAUGCAGUUCAGAAAAAUGGGAUUCAUCUCUAUGAAGAAAAG
Thamnophis elegans (Western terrestrial garter snake) is the source of this 302-nucleotide long non-coding RNA. RefSeq lists it as uncharacterized. The transcript has 3 exons. The record is from RefSeq and is a predicted model, not a curated record. NCBI's taxonomy places the organism in Eukaryota, Metazoa, Chordata, Lepidosauria, Squamata, Natricidae.